This is a small nuclear RNA of Aotus nancymaae (Ma's night monkey), 103 nucleotides long. The record is from Ensembl. NCBI's taxonomy places the organism in Eukaryota, Metazoa, Chordata, Mammalia, Primates, Aotidae.
AUGUUUCCUUCAUCAGCACAUAUACUAAAAUUGGAACAAUACAGAGAUUAGCCUGGCUCCUGUGAAGGAUGACAUGCAAAUAUAUGAAGUGUUUCAUACUUAU